UACGUAGGGGGCGAGCGUUGUCCGGAAUCACUGGGUGUAAAGGGUGCUCAGGCGGGUCGAUAAGUCAGAGGUGAAAUUUCACAGCUUAACUGUGAAUGUGCUUUUGAUACUGUCGGUCUAGAGUUCAGAAGAGGGCAAUGGAAUUCUUGGUGUAGCGGUGAAAUGCGUAGAUAUCAAGAAGAACACCAGUUGCGAAGGCGGUUGCCUGGUCUGUAACUGACGCUCAAGCACGAAAGCGUGGGGAUCAAACAGGAUUAGAUACCCUGGUAGUCCACGCCCUAAACGAUGAAUACUCGGUGUCGGGUCGUAAGAUUCGGUGCCUAAGCUAACGCUUUAAGUAUUCCACCUGGGGAGUACGAUCGCAAGGUUGAA
This 372-nucleotide ribosomal RNA is filed under the name uncultured bacterium. Its description in RNAcentral is "bacterial SSU rRNA". It matches the Rfam family "Bacterial small subunit ribosomal RNA", at positions 524 to 898 of the family's 1533-position model. The record is from RNAcentral.